RNAcentral lists this ribosomal RNA (400 nucleotides) under uncultured bacterium. RNAcentral's name for it is "bacterial SSU rRNA". It matches the Rfam family "Bacterial small subunit ribosomal RNA", at positions 355 to 768 of the family's 1533-position model. The record is from RNAcentral.
CCGAAAAUAUUGGACAAUGGGCGAAAGCCUGAUCCAGCGACGUUGCGUGGAGGAUGAAGUCCUUCGGGUUGUAAACUCCUUUUCUAAGGGAAGAAGUUAUUGACGGUACCUUAGGAAUAAGCGGGGGCUAAUUCUGUGCCAGCAGCAGCGGUAAUACAGAACCCGCGAGCGUUAUCCGGAUUUAUUGGGCGUAAAGUGUUCGUAGGCGGUAUGGAAAGUCUGACAUUAAAUUUCCUGGGCUUAACCCGGGAACUGUGUUGGAAACUUCCAAACUCGAAGAUGCUAGGGGCUAUCGGAACGCACGGUGUAGGGGUGAAAUCCGUUGAUAUCGUGCGGAACACCAAAAGCGAAGGCAGAUAGCUAGGGCAAUCUUGACGCUGAGGAACGAAAGCGUGGGGAG